Molecule: ribosomal RNA, 375 nt
Filed under: uncultured organism
Description: partial 16S ribosomal RNA
Rfam family: Bacterial small subunit ribosomal RNA
Source: RNAcentral
GUAGGUGGCAAGCGUUGUCCGGAAUUAUUGGGCGGUAAAGCGCGCGCAGGCGGUUCUUUAAGUCUGAUGUGAAAGCCCACGGGCUCAACCGUGGAGGGUCAUUGGAAACUGGAGAACUUGAGUACAGAAGAGGAAAGCGGAAUUCCACGUGUAGCGGUGAAAUGCGUAGAGAUGUGGAGGAACACCAGUGGCGAAGGCGGCCUUCUGGUCUGUAACUGACGCUGAGGCGCGAAAGCGUGGGGAGCAAACAGGAUUAGAUACCCUGGUAGUCCACGCCGUAAACGAUGAGUGCUAAGUGUUAGGGGGGUUUCCGCCCCCUUAGUGCUGCAGCUAACGCAUUAAGCACUCCGCCUGGGGAGUACGGCCGCAAGGCUG